This 253-nucleotide ribosomal RNA is filed under the name uncultured bacterium. Its description in RNAcentral is "partial 16S ribosomal RNA". It matches the Rfam family "Bacterial small subunit ribosomal RNA", at positions 524 to 776 of the family's 1533-position model. The record is from RNAcentral.
UACGGGGGGGGCAAGCGUUGUUCGGAAUUACUGGGCGUAAAGGGCUGGUAGGCGGCCAACUAAGUCGGAUGUGAAAUCCCCAGGCUUAACCUGGGAACUGCAUCCGAUACUGGUCGGCUUGAAUCCGGGAGAGGGAUGCAGAAUUCCAGGUGUAGCGGUGAAAUGCGUAGAUAUCUGGAGGAAUACCGGUGGCGAAGGCGGUUCUCUGGGCCUGUACUGACGCUGAGGAACGAAAGCGUGGGGAGCGAACAGG